UACGAAGGGGGCUAGCGUUGUUCGGAUUUACUGGGCGUAAAGGGCGCGUAGGCGGGCGAUUUAGUCAGGGGUGAAAUCCCAAGGCUCAACCUUGGAACUGCCUUUGAUACUGAUUGUCUUGAGUUCGAGAGAGGUAAGUGGAACUGCGAGUGUAGAGGUGAAAUUCGUAGAUAUUCGCAAGAACACCAGUGGCGAAGGCGGCUUACUGGCUCGAUACUGACGCUGAGGCGCGAAAGCGUGGGGAGCAAACAGG
RNAcentral lists this ribosomal RNA (253 nucleotides) under uncultured bacterium. RNAcentral describes it as "partial 16S ribosomal RNA". It matches the Rfam family "Bacterial small subunit ribosomal RNA", at positions 524 to 776 of the family's 1533-position model. The record is from RNAcentral.